RNAcentral lists this ribosomal RNA (1364 nucleotides) under uncultured marine eukaryote. RNAcentral describes it as "SSU rRNA". It matches the Rfam family "Eukaryotic small subunit ribosomal RNA", at positions 383 to 1806 of the family's 1831-position model. The record is from RNAcentral.
UCGGAGAGGGCGCCUGAGAAACGGCUACCACAUCUAAGGAAGGCAGCAGGCGCGUAAAUUACCCAAUCCUGAUUCAGGGAGGUAGUGACAAGAAAUAACAACCUGGGGAUCUCAUGAUCUUACGGGAUUGCAAUGAGAACAAUUUAAAUCUCUUAACGAGUAACAAUUGGAGGGCAAGUCUGGUGCCAGCAGCCGCGGUAAUUCCAGCUCCAAUAGCGUAUAUUAAAGUUGUUGCAGUUAAAAAGCUCGUAGUUGAACUUCUGGCGGCGUGCCGGUAAGGCUUCGGUCUGCCGGAUUAGCGUCGUCAUCCGCCUGCAAACCUCGUUCGACCUUCACUGGUUCGGCGAGUUGAGUAGACAAUUUACUUUGAAAAAAUUAGAGUGUUUCAAGCAGGCAAUAGCCCGAAUACUUUAGCAUGGAAUAAUGGAAUAGGACUCUGUCCAUAUAUUUAAAUUGGCUGUGGGCAUGAGUAAUGAUUAAUAGGGACAGUUGGGGGCAUUAGUAUUUAAUUGUCAGAGGUGAAAUUCUUGGAUUUAUUAAAGACUAACUAAUGCGAAAGCAUUUGCCAAGGAUGUUUUCAUUAAUCAAGAACGAAAGUUAGGGGAUCAAAGACGAUCAGAUACCGUCCUAGUCUUAACUAUAAACGAUGCCGACUCGGGAUUGGAAGGUGUACUAUAAAACCCUUUCAGCACCGUAAUGAGAAAUCAAAGUCUUUGGGUCUGGGGGAGUAUGGUCGCAAGGCUGAACUAAAGGAAUGACGGAAGGACACCACCAGGAGUGGGGCUGCGGCUUAAUUUGACUCAACGCGGGAAAACUUACCAGGUUAAAACAUGAGUGUGAUUGACAGAUUGAGAGCUCUUUCUUGAUUGUAUGGGUGGUGGUGCAUGGCCGUUCUUAGUUGGUGGAGUGAUUUGUCUGGUUAAUUCCGUUAACGAACGAGACCUUAACCUGCUAACUAGUUCCUUCGUGCUUUAACGGGGGAUACUUCUUAGAGGGACUAUGGGAUUCAAGCCCAUGGAAGUUUGAGGCAAUAACAGGUCUGUGAUGCCCCUAGAUAUCCUGGGCCGCACGCGUUCCACAAUGACUUGUUCAGAAAGUACCAUCCUGGCUCGGAAAAGUACGGGUAACCUUUUCAAUGCAAGUCGUAUUAGGGAUCGAUCUUUGGAAUUAUAGAUCUUGAACGAGGAAUUCCUAGUAAGUGCAAGUCAUCAGCUUGUACUGAUUACGUCCCUGCCCUUUGUACACACCGCCCGUCGCUCCUACCGAUUUCGAGUGAUAAGGUGAACCUUCUGGACUGCUUUCGAGCGGGAAGUUAAGUAAACCUUAUUACUUAGAGGAAGGAGAAGUCGUAACAAGGUAGCCGU